AGGGCACCACCAGGGGUGGAGCCUGCGGCUUAAUUUGACUCAACACGGGGAAACUCCUCCGGUCCGGACACCGUGAGGAUUGACAGAUUGAGAGCUCUUUCUUGAUUUGGUGGGCAGUGGUGCAUGGCCGUUCUUAGUUGGUGGAGUGAUUUGUCUGGUUUAUUCCGAUAACGAACGAGACUCUGGCCUACUAACUAGUUGCGCGAUUGAGGAGUCGUGCCAACUUCUUAGAGGGACAAGCGGUGCUCAGCCGCAUGAAAAAGAGCAAUAACAGGUCUGUGAUGCCCUUCGAUGUUCGGAGCUGCACGCGCGCUACACUGUGAGUGGCAGCAUGUUAGCUUGCCUCGCUCGCAAGAGUGGGGUAAUCGGUUGAAAAUCUCACGUGAUUGGGAUAGGGACUUGUAAUUAUUUCCCUUGAACGAGGAAUCCCUAGUAAGUGCAGGUCAUCAGCUUGCGCUGAUUACGUCCCUGCCCUUUGUACACACCGCCCGUCGCUGCCCGGAACUGAAGCAUCUCGAG
This 519-nucleotide ribosomal RNA is filed under the name uncultured eukaryote. RNAcentral describes it as "SSU rRNA". It matches the Rfam family "Eukaryotic small subunit ribosomal RNA", at positions 1161 to 1703 of the family's 1831-position model. The record is from RNAcentral.